RNAcentral lists this ribosomal RNA (569 nucleotides) under Apiotrichum laibachii. Its description in RNAcentral is "eukaryotic LSU rRNA". It matches the Rfam family "Eukaryotic large subunit ribosomal RNA", at positions 47 to 632 of the family's 3401-position model. The record is from RNAcentral. Lineage: Eukaryota; Fungi; Basidiomycota; Tremellomycetes; Trichosporonales; Trichosporonaceae.
UAAGCGGAGGAAAAGAAACUAACAAGGAUUCCCUUAGUAACGGCGAGUGAACCGGGAAGAGCUCAAAUUUGAAAUCUGGCUGUCUUCGAUAGUCCGAGUUGUAAUCUAUAGAAGCGUUUUCCGUGCUGAACUGUGUAUAAGUCCCUUGGAACAGGGUAUCAAAGAGGGUGACAAUCCCGUACUUUACACAAUCAUCAGUGCUCUGUGAUACGUUCUCUACGAGUCGAGUUGUUUGGGAAUGCAGCUCAAAAUGGGUGGUAAAUUCCAUCUAAAGCUAAAUAUUGGCGAGAGACCGAUAGCGAACAAGUACCGUGAGGGAAAGAUGAAAAGCACUUUGGAAAGAGAGUUAAACAGUACGUGAAAUUGUUAAAAGGGAAACGAUUGAAGUCAGUCGUGUUUAUUGGAUUCAGCCGGUCUUCGGUGUACUUCCUUUAAACGGGUCAACAUCAGUUUUGUCCGGUGGAUAAAGGCAGUAGGAAUGUGGCUCCCUCGGGAGUGUUAUAGCCUAUUGUCACAUACACUGGAGGAGACUGAGGACUGCAGCUCGCCUUUUGGCCGGGCGUUGCGCC